UAAUACCGCAUAAUCCCUACGGGGGAAAGCAGGGGACCUUCGGGCCUUGUGCUGAUGGAUGAGCUCGCGUCGGAUUAGCUUGUUGGUGAGGUAAUGGCUCACCAAGGCGACGAUCCGUAGCUGGUCUUAGAGGAUGAUCAGCCACACCGGGACUGAGACACGGCCCGGACUCCUACGGGAGGCAGCAGUGGGGAAUCUUGGACAAUGGGGGCAACCCUGAUCCAGCCAUGCCGCGUGUGUGAAGAAGGCCUUCGGGUUGUAAAGCACUUUCAGUAGGGAGGAAGGCUUAUCCUUAAUACGGAUGAGUACUUGACGUUACCUACAGAAGAAGCACCGGCUAAUUUCGUGCCAGCAGCCGCGGUAAUACGAAAGGUGCAAGCGUUAAUCGGAAUUACUGGGCGUAAAGCGCGCGUAGGCGGU
Molecule: ribosomal RNA, 420 nt
Filed under: uncultured bacterium
Lineage: Bacteria
Description: bacterial SSU rRNA
Rfam family: Bacterial small subunit ribosomal RNA
Source: RNAcentral